Molecule: ribosomal RNA, 743 nt
Filed under: Salmonella enterica subsp. enterica serovar Infantis
Lineage: Bacteria; Pseudomonadati; Pseudomonadota; Gammaproteobacteria; Enterobacterales; Enterobacteriaceae
Description: partial 23S ribosomal RNA
Rfam family: Bacterial large subunit ribosomal RNA
Source: RNAcentral
GCAGUGUACCCGCGGCAAGACGGAAAGACCCCGUGAACCUUUACUAUAGCUUGACACUGAACAUUGAGCCUUGAUGUGUAGGAUAGGUGGGAGGCUUUGAAGCGUGGACGCCAGUCUGCGUGGAGCCGACCUUGAAAUACCACCCUUUAAUGUUUGAUGUUCUAACGUGGAUCCGUAAUCCGGGUUGCGGACAGUGUCUGGUGGGUAGUUUGACUGGGGCGGUCUCCUCCUAAAGAGUAACGGAGGAGCACGAAGGUUGGCUAAUCCUGGUCGGACAUCAGGAGGUUAGUGCAAUGGCAUAAGCCAGCUUGACUGCGAGCGUGACGGCGCGAGCAGGUGCGAAAGCAGGUCAUAGUGAUCCGGUGGUUCUGAAUGGAAGGGCCAUCGCUCAACGGAUAAAAGGUACUCCGGGGAUAACAGGCUGAUACCGCCCAAGAGUUCAUAUCGACGGCGGUGUUUGGCACCUCGAUGUCGGCUCAUCACAUCCUGGGGCUGAAGUAGGUCCCAAGGGUAUGGCUGUUCGCCAUUUAAAGUGGUACGCGAGCUGGGUUUAGAACGUCGUGAGACAGUUCGGUCCCUAUCUGCCGUGGGCGCUGGAGAACUGAGGGGGGCUGCUCCUAGUACGAGAGGACCGGAGUGGACGCAUCACUGGUGUUCGGGUUGUCAUGCCAAUGGCACUGCCCGGUAGCUAAAUGCGGAAGAGAUAAGUGCUGAAAGCAUCUAAGCACGAAACUUGCCCCGAG